GACGAACGCUGGCGGCGUGCUUAACACAUGCAAGUCGAGCGGUAAGGCCCUUUCGGGGUACGACGAGCGGCGAACGGGUGAGUAACACGUGGGUGACCUGCCCUCAGCUCUGGGAGUAAGCCUGGGAAACGUGGGUCUAAUACUGGAUAUGACUCCACGGUGCAUGUCGUGGGGUGGAAAGCCUUGUGCGGCUGAGGAUGGGCCCGCGGCCUAUCAGCUUGUUGGUGGGGUGAGGCCUACCAAGGCGACGACGGGUAGCCGGCCUGAGAGGGCGACCGGCCACACUGGGA
This 290-nucleotide ribosomal RNA is filed under the name uncultured bacterium. Its description in RNAcentral is "partial 16S ribosomal RNA". It matches the Rfam family "Bacterial small subunit ribosomal RNA", at positions 28 to 318 of the family's 1533-position model. The record is from RNAcentral.